CCUACGGGAGGCAGCAGUGAGGAAUAUUGGUCAAUGGGCGAGAGCCUGAACCAGCCAAGUCGCGUGAAGGAUGACGGCCCUACGGGUUGUAAACUUCUUUUGUCAGGGAGCAAUUGGGUCCACGCGUGGGCUUAGCGAGAGUACCUGAAGAAAAAGCAUCGGCUAACUCCGUGCCAGCAGGCGCGGUAAUACGGAGGAUGCGAGCGUUAUCAGGAUUUAUUGGGUUUACAGGGUGCGUAUGCGGAAUAUCAAGUCAGCGGUAAAAAGUCGGGGCCCAAACCCGUCGUGCCGUUGAAACUGAUGGUCUUGAGUGGGCGAGAAGUAUGCGGAAUGCGUGGUGUAGCGGUGAAAUGCUUAGAUAUCACGAAGAACCCCGAUUGCGAAGGCAGCUUACUAAACUGUGACUGACAUUGAUGCUCGAAAGUGUGGGUAUCAAACAGGAUUAGAUACCCGUGUAGUC
This 460-nucleotide ribosomal RNA is filed under the name uncultured bacterium. Its description in RNAcentral is "partial 16S ribosomal RNA". It matches the Rfam family "Bacterial small subunit ribosomal RNA", at positions 338 to 795 of the family's 1533-position model. The record is from RNAcentral.